Long non-coding RNA from Bufo bufo (common toad), 786 nucleotides. RefSeq lists it as uncharacterized. The transcript is spliced from 2 exons. NCBI's taxonomy places the organism in Eukaryota, Metazoa, Chordata, Amphibia, Anura, Bufonidae. The record is from RefSeq and is a predicted model, not a curated record.
CUGGGUGUAAAAUUGGUCACAUUGCUAUUAGCUGGGUGAAGAAAUGGUCACAGUGCCGAUAGUUGGGUGGAGAAAUUAUCACAUUGCCGGUGCCUGGGUUGAGAAAUGGUUACAAUGCCACUAGCUGGUUGGAUAAAUAAUCAUAUUGCUGGGAGCUGGGUGUAGAAAUGGUUACAAUGUCGAUAGCUGUGUGGAAAGGUGAUCACAAUGCUGGGAGCUGGGUGUAGAAAUGAUCACAUUGCUGAUGCCCCAAUGGAGCAAUGGUCUAGAUUCCAGUGCCUGCAGCAGAAAUGUUCACAUUGCCAGUAUCUAGAUGGCGAAAUGGUCACUUGGGGGAUGGCGAAAUAUUCACAUUGCCGGUAACUGUGUGGAGAAAUGGUCACAUUGCUGGUAACUGGGAGGAGAAAUGGUCAUGUUGCUAGUAGCUGGGUGUAGAAAUGGUUAGAUUGCCAGUAGCUGGGUGGAGAAGUGGUCACCUUGCUGGUAGCUGGGUGGAGAAAUGGUCACCUUGCUGGUAGCUGGGUGGAGAAAUGGUCACCUUGCUGGUAGCUGGGUGGAGAAAUGGUUACCUUGCUGGUAGCUGGGUGGAGAAAUGUUCACCUUGCUGGUAGCUGGGUGGAGAAAUGUUCACCUUGCUGGUAGCUGGGUGGAGAAAUGGUCACCUUGCUGGUAGCUGGGUGGAGAAAUGGUCACCUUGCUGGUAGCUGGGUGGAGAAAUGGUCACCUUGCUGGUAGCUGGGUGGAGAAAUGGUCACCUUGCUGGUAGCUGGGUGGAGAAAUGGUCAC